This 324-nucleotide ribosomal RNA is filed under the name uncultured Cenococcum. RNAcentral's name for it is "eukaryotic LSU rRNA". It matches the Rfam family "Eukaryotic large subunit ribosomal RNA", at positions 1 to 327 of the family's 3401-position model. The record is from RNAcentral. Lineage: Eukaryota; Fungi; Ascomycota; Dothideomycetes; Gloniales; Gloniaceae.
UUGACCUCGGAUCAGGCAGGGAUACCCGCUGAACUUAAGCAUAUCAAUAAGCGGAGGAAAAGAAACCAACAGGGAUUGCCUCAGUAACGGCGAGUGAAGCGGCAACAGCUCAAAUUUGAAAUCUGGCUCUUUUAGGGUCCGAGUUGUAAUUUGUAGAGGAUGCUUCGGCGUCGGCUCCGGUCUAAGUUCCUUGGAACAGGACGUCAUAGAGGGUGAGAAUCCCGUAUGUGAUCGGUUGCCUUGCCAUGUGAAGCUCCUUCGACGAGUCGAGUGUUUGGAAUGCAGCUCUAAAUGGGAGGUAAAUUCUUCUAAGCUAAUACUGCC